This 62-nucleotide transfer RNA is filed under the name Drepanidotaenia lanceolata. RNAcentral describes it as "tRNA-Pro". Lineage: Eukaryota; Metazoa; Platyhelminthes; Cestoda; Cyclophyllidea; Hymenolepididae. The record is from RNAcentral.
CUAAUCUUAGUUUAAUAAGAAUGAGGGUUUUGGGGACCUUUGGUCUCAAUUGAGAGAUUUGG